RNAcentral lists this ribosomal RNA (397 nucleotides) under uncultured bacterium. Its description in RNAcentral is "partial 16S ribosomal RNA". It matches the Rfam family "Bacterial small subunit ribosomal RNA", at positions 523 to 918 of the family's 1533-position model. The record is from RNAcentral.
AUACGUAGGUGACAAGCGUUAUCCGGAUUUACUGGGCGUAAAGGGCGUGUAGGCGGUCUUGCAAGUCAGAAGCGAAAUUCCUGAGCUCAACUCGGGCGCUGCUUCUGAAACUGCAGGACUUGAGUGCUGGCGGGGAUAGCGGAAUUCCUCGUGGAGCGGUAAAAUGCGCAGAUAUUAGGAAGAACACCGGUGGCGAAGGCGGCUAUCUGGACAGUAACUGACGCUGAGGCGCGAAAGCGUGGGGAGCAAACAGGAUUAGAUCCCCUGGUAGUCCACGCCGUAAACGAUGAAUACUAGGUGUAGGGGGUAUCGACUCCCUCUGUGCCGCAGUUAACACAAUAAGUAUUCCGCCUGGGGAGUACGGCCGCAAGGUUGAAACUCAAAUGAAUCGACGGGG